GAUAGAAAAGAGUAGUUCUAUGGGAUUUGAGAGACUAAGUUUGAGAGUCUGUGGCCACAAUAGUAUGAUUGAUAGAAAAGAGUUUCCAUAAUGAUCAUAAUUGGACUUAAACUGAUCGAAUUUAUCAUAUGACUGAUGAUGAGGUUUAAUGAUUUAUCUAUGACCUGCCAUCUAGUCGGAACUCACGAUAAAGGGACUGAA
This 201-nucleotide long non-coding RNA is filed under the name Elaeis guineensis (African oil palm). RNAcentral's name for it is "long non-coding RNA (EGUI_LNC061699)". The record is from RNAcentral. Lineage: Eukaryota; Viridiplantae; Streptophyta; Magnoliopsida; Arecales; Arecaceae.